GACGAACGCUGGCGGCGUGCUUAACACAUGCAAGUCGAACGGAAAGGCCCUGCUUUUGUGGGGUGCUCGAGUGGCGAACGGGUGAGUAACACGUGAGUAACCUGCCCUUGACUUUGGGAUAACUUCAGGAAACUGGGGCUAAUACCGGAUAGGAGCUCCUGCUGCAUGGUGGGGGUUGGAAAGUUUCGGCGGUUGGGGAUGGACUCGCGGCUUAUCCGCUUGUUGGUGGGGUAGUGGCUUACCAAGGCUUUGACGGGUAGCCGGCCUGGGAGGGUGACCGGCCACAUUGGGACUGAGGUACGGCCCAGACUCCUACGGGAGGCAGCAGUGGGGAAUAUUGCACAAUGGGCGGAAGCCUGAUGCAGCAACGCCGCGUGCGGGAUGACGGCCUUCGGGUUGUAAACCGCUUUCGCCUGUGACGAAGCGUGAGUGACGGUAAUGGGUAAAGAAGCACCGGCUAACUACGUG
This 468-nucleotide ribosomal RNA is filed under the name uncultured bacterium. Its description in RNAcentral is "partial 16S ribosomal RNA". It matches the Rfam family "Bacterial small subunit ribosomal RNA", at positions 28 to 507 of the family's 1533-position model. The record is from RNAcentral.